AGAGUGUUGGCUGCCGUUCACAAUUCACAAGAUUUCGCUGACGCUUUUAAUUGUCCUCUUAACAGCCCAAUGAAUCCCUACGAGAAGUGCGAGAUUUGGUGAUCAUGAAGGGCGGUUCUAGUUUUGCUAUUUAAUGAAGUGGUUAAUAUUUUCUUAGUUGUUGAUGUUCUUAAAUUUACUCGUUUGAAACUAAAAGUUGGCAGUCUCUUUACAACUUUACAAAAAUAUACCAUUCAGUUGUCAUACAUGUCCUUUAUCACUUGUGUGACAUAAGUUUUAUAACUGCUUGUGCAAUUUUCUGCAGUCUAAAGUUUCAUGUUGUCUGCACAUGUAGGAGACACAAUUUAUAUGACUUAUUUAUAUAUUGUAUUGGC
Paramuricea clavata is the source of this 374-nucleotide non-coding RNA. NCBI's taxonomy places the organism in Eukaryota, Metazoa, Cnidaria, Anthozoa, Malacalcyonacea, Plexauridae. The record is from the annotation of a GenBank genome assembly.